UGUAUUACUUGACGUUAGCGACAGAAGAAGCACCGGCUAACUCCGUGCCAGCAGCCGCGGUAAUACGGAGGGUGCGAGCGUUAAUCGGAAUUACUGGGCGUAAAGCGCAUGCAGGUGGUUUGUUAAGUCAGAUGUGAAAGCCCGGGGCUCAACCUCGGAAUAGCAUUUGAAACUGGCAGACUAGAGUACUGUAGAGGGGGGUAGAAUUUCAGGUGUAGCGGUGAAAUGCGUAGAGAUCUGAAGGAAUACCGGUGGCGAAGGCGGCCCCCUGGACAGAUACUGACACUCAGAUGCGAAAGCGUGGGGAGCAAACAGGAUUAGAUACCCUGGUAGUCCACGCCGUAAACGAUGUCUACUUGGAGGUUGUGGCCUUGAGCCGUGGCUUUCGGAGCUAACGCGUUAAGUAGACCGCCUGGGGAGUACGGUCGCAAGAUUAAAACUCAAAUGAAUUGACGGGGGCCCGCACAAGCGGUGGAGCAUGUGGUUUAAUUCGAUGCAACGCGAAGAACCUUACCUACUCUUGACAUCCAGAGAACUUUCCAGAGAUGGAUUGGUGCCUUCGGGAACUCUGAGACAGGUGCUGCAUGGCUGUCGUCAGCUCGUGUUGUGAAAUGUUGGGUUAAGUCCCGCAACGAGCGCAACCCUUAUCCUUGUUUGCCAGCGAGUAAUGUCGGGAACUCCAGGGAGACUGCCGGUGAUAAACCGGAGGAAGGUGGGGACGACGUCAAGUCAUCAUGGCCCUUACGAGUAGGGCUACACACGUGCUACAAUGGCGCAUACAGAGGGCAGCAAGCUAGCGAUAGUGAGCGAAUCCCAAAAAGUGCGUCGUAGUCCGGAUUGGAGUCUGCAACUCGACUCCAUGAAGUCGGAAUCGCUAGUAAUCGUGGAUCAGAAUGCCACGGUGAAUACGUUCCCGGGCCUUGUACACACCGCCCGUCACACCAUGGGAGUGGGCUGCAAAAGAAGUAGGUAGUUUAACCUUCGGGAGGACGCUACCAC
This 999-nucleotide ribosomal RNA is filed under the name Vibrio sp. 2011SOCNI10. RNAcentral's name for it is "bacterial SSU rRNA". It matches the Rfam family "Bacterial small subunit ribosomal RNA", at positions 461 to 1460 of the family's 1533-position model. The record is from RNAcentral. Lineage: Bacteria; Pseudomonadati; Pseudomonadota; Gammaproteobacteria; Vibrionales; Vibrionaceae.